UCUUCGACUCUGACAACGACGAUAUAUACUUAUAUGUUAUCUGACAUCAACAAUGGAGUUUCUAGAGAUUGAAUGGCUCAAAUCAACAUGAAGAGUAUCUUGGGAUUGCUAAAAAAAAGAGAGUAUCUUUGUGGGUCUGUUAAUAGCGUUGUUUAGUUUUUUGUUCUAAUCAACUGACGAGUUACUGAUUCAUCUCCUUUAUCGCCUUCUUAACUCCAUAGACAUGCACUAAUCACGAUCUGACAUUGAAUGUGAGUUACCCCUCUGCGAGGCGGUGUAUCUACACCUAAACCCUAAACCCAUCUAUCUGAAGUAUUACGAACCUUAGCAAGAAUGUGAAACACUUGCUGUUUCGGGUUUAAUUGACUACGAGAACAAGACCUGACCUUGAACAAGGAGAGAAACUAUAGGAAGAGCAUGACUGCUGCCCAUUCAUGUGAGGAUGUUUGUGACACAUUUAGAAACAAAGGUUGGGGUGUUACAAAUCCAGAUUUGAUUGACCAGGUGAAGUGUUGAUAAAAAAGGUUUCUCACCUUAUUGCUUUAAAUUUCAAAAUAUAUGGUUUAUAAUUCAGUAAACCAAUCAGUUUCUAAAAUUUAUAUUGUCUUUAACUUAUAUAAAUCAGUGCUGCUAAGAUCUUCGGUAGUUCCAAUUUAUUUUAGGAGUAUCCCCUAGAUGGUCACUGAGACAAUGGUUACCAUCCUCACUUGAUUGCUCCUUAGCAAGGUUACUAUCGUCCAUUGAGUAUUCUAUUGUGUCCAUCCAAAAACAUGUGUCCUUUUUUUCCUUUGUGUGGUUAAAUAUUUCUACGCUCAUGCGAUCUUUUUGAAGGAUUGGGUUCACAAGUCUGUGAUUGAUACGGUGACAGACUGAGGUGACAAACGCGGCCAUAGCGUCGUUGGAAAAAAGAAUAGGAGCGAAGAUAGCAACAUUGCAGCUGGUGAACAUGGAGAAGUACAAUUACCUUACUGUUGAUUUCUUCAAGAAGCUUCUCCAGUUCUGAGAAUUCCCACUGUUUUUCUCGGUUUUCGUUUGUGGUUCAAACACGGAAGAGACUUCUAGAUUUUUUUUUUUGGAGAUGAUCUGCCUGGAAGUGGGAUUGCAUCAUGCCGUAUCGUUUAUUACAGCUACACAGUUUGUUCUGCUGUCUCUUUGUUUGUAUUCGUUUUGACUAUUACCUUA
Molecule: long non-coding RNA, 1182 nt
Organism: Raphanus sativus (radish)
Lineage: Eukaryota; Viridiplantae; Streptophyta; Magnoliopsida; Brassicales; Brassicaceae
Exons: 5
Source: RefSeq, a predicted model, not a curated record